Molecule: long non-coding RNA, 1028 nt
Filed under: Heterocephalus glaber (naked mole-rat)
Lineage: Eukaryota; Metazoa; Chordata; Mammalia; Rodentia; Bathyergidae
Description: lncRNA (ENSHGLG00100041207.1)
Source: RNAcentral
UGGAUGGAAUCGUGUAAGCAUAUGCAAAUUGCUUUUGUAGCAAAGUAGCAUAGGCUGUUCUCUGUCAUAAAUUGCCAAACUUUGUGUCACAUGACCCUGAGAAUUGACCAUGGUUCAACUGAUCAGGAAUUUGUAACUUCGCGAAGGCAAUUAUCUCUAGCUUUACCAAUGGGAUUUCCAGAGGCCUAAUGCAAGAAUUCCUCCCUGUGGGGGAGGUGACUCACUGAUCCAACCAAGGAUGUCUUACAAGCCUUUACCAGUGUGAGAAGCUCAAAAAGCUAUGGGACCAGAGUAGAAUUAGAAAAAAAGAAAAGAGGAGGUUGCUGCUGAAAUGGAGAGGCAGAAACAGAGAGAAAGAGAGUAGUUGAUUGUAAACAUGACACUGUCAUAGGAUUAAGGGGCCAAUGGUCCUUCUUCUCUGGGGAAGCUACGGUUACUUCCUGGUGACGCUCCAGGGUGCCAUGCAGCAGGCUGGGUAACUGCACAGAGUGAUGCCUUACUUCCUCAUUGCCUCACUAGCUGUCACAAUUGCUCACAUCACCUGAUAUCUUCUGAGCCUGACUCUGAUCCUUGCCACAGAAAGAGUCUAACUGAAGCGGUUGGAGAGGAGGGAGUGAAGAGGUGUGGCUGGAAGGAAUGGAUCAGCAAAAGCUUCACCAGGAUUUGGUGAGACCCAAGCGGAGUUCUGAAGUAUAGAGUCUUCCCUUGGGAAAGUGAAGCUUCCUAGAGUGAGGUGACCAGUGGCCUGUGGAAUGCUUUGCUUCUUGUGACUGUUAAUUCUGAUAUGUCAACUUCACCGGAAGAAAUGCCUAGCAGCUCCCCUGCUCUGCUUCUGGACAUUGUGAACUAAGCAGCUUUUCCAGCCUGCUGACUAUGGAUUGAAUCUCCUGAAACUAAAUACAUGAAUGUGGUAUAAAAAUAUUAGAGGAGCUUAUGAUGAAAAAACAACAAUCUUUCAACUUCCUUUCUCACCCCAGCCCCAUUCUCCAGAGGUACUCUCUUUUAUUCUCAGGCCUUCUAAUGAUUAG